AGAGUUUGAUCAUGGCUCAGAACGAACGCUGGCGGCGUGCCUAACACAUGCAAGUCGAACGAGAAGUACGUAGCAAUACGUAUUGUAAAGUGGCGCACGGGUGAGUAACACGUGGGUAAUCUGCCCUUGAGUUUGGGAUAACCCCGCGAAAGCGGGGCUAAUACCGAAUAAGACCACGGGGACCAAAGUCCCUGGGGUAAAAGGUGGCCUCUAUUUAUAAGCUACCACUCGAGGAUGAGCCCGCGGCCCAUUAGCUAGUUGGCAGGGUAAUGGCCUACCAAGGCAAUGAUGGGUAGCUGGUCUGAGAGGACGAUCAGCCACACUGGAACUGAGACACGGUCCAGACUCCUACGGGAGGCAGCAGUGGGGAAUAUUGCGCAAUGGGCGAAAGCCUGACGCAGCAACGCCGCGUGGGGGAUGAAGGUUCUCGGAUUGUAAACCCCUUUCGAUCGGAACGAAUCCCCUCCUGGUAAAUAAUCAGGAGGGUCGACGGUACCGAGAGAAGAAGCCACGGCUAACUCUGUGCCAGCAGCCGCGGUAAGACAGAGGUGGCGAGCGUUGUUCGGAUUUAUUGGGCGUAAAGCGAACGCAGGUGGUUUGGUAAGUCAGGGGUGAAAGUCCACAGCUUAACUGUGGCACUGCCUUUUGAUACUGCCUUUCUUGAGUAGAGUAGGGGGAAGCGGAAUUCCGAGUGUAGAGGUGAAAUUCGUAGAUAUUCGGAGGAACACCGGUGGCGAAGGCGGCUUCCUGGACUCUAACUGACACUCAUGUUCGAAAGCGUGGGGAGCAAACAGGAUUAGAUACCCUAGUAGUCC
Molecule: ribosomal RNA, 815 nt
Filed under: uncultured bacterium
Lineage: Bacteria
Description: bacterial SSU rRNA
Rfam family: Bacterial small subunit ribosomal RNA
Source: RNAcentral